GGAGAGAUGCAAGAGUGGUUGAAUUGGCCGCUCUCGAAAAGCGGUGAGCCGGCAACGGUUCCGAGGGUUCGAAUCCCUCUCUCUCCGCCA
RNAcentral lists this transfer RNA (90 nucleotides) under Candidatus Saccharimonadota bacterium. RNAcentral describes it as "Candidatus Saccharibacteria bacterium tRNA-Ser". It matches the Rfam family "tRNA". Rfam says of the family: Transfer RNA (tRNA) molecules are approximately 80 nucleotides in length. Lineage: Bacteria; Candidatus Saccharimonadota. The record is from RNAcentral. RNAcentral also lists the same sequence under 2 other names.